Molecule: ribosomal RNA, 478 nt
Filed under: uncultured bacterium
Lineage: Bacteria
Description: partial 16S ribosomal RNA
Rfam family: Bacterial small subunit ribosomal RNA
Source: RNAcentral
GACGAACGCUGGCGGCGUGCCUAACACAUGCAAGUCGAACGGAAUUUCGGAAACCGUAGCCUCGUUGGCAGAUUAGUAAUCAGAGCGGCGACCCGGUGAGUAACGCGUGAUCAACCUGCCUUUGACAGGGGGAUAGCCUUGGGAAACCGGGAUUAAUACCGCACAACAUCGUAGAAACACAUGUUUCAACGGUCCCAGAUGUAUGGGUCAUAGCUGGGCGCGCGUCUGUUUAGCUCGUUGGUGAGAUAACACGCCACCAAGGCGACGAUCAGUAGCCGGUCUGAGAGGCUCAACGGCCACAGUGGAGCAGGGCCACAGUCGGAACUCCUCCGCGAGGCAGCAGUGUGGAAUAUUGCACAAUCGGGGAAGGGCUGAUGCAGCGGCGGCGGGUAAACGCUGAAAGUAUUCGUGUCGUAAAGUUCAGUCCUCUGGGAAGUUACUGACAGUACCAGAGAAGAAAGCGCCGGCUAACUACGUG